This is a non-coding RNA of Nothobranchius furzeri (turquoise killifish), 1258 nucleotides long. NCBI's taxonomy places the organism in Eukaryota, Metazoa, Chordata, Actinopteri, Cyprinodontiformes, Nothobranchiidae. The record is from RefSeq and is a predicted model, not a curated record.
UUAUAAGUCACAGUUUUUGGUGAGGGCUUCCAGGUUCUCUUUGUAUAGAAGUCAGACCCAAACAUUCUUUGCAGCUGGUUGUGACAGGCCCACCCAGUAAAGUUCAUGCCCCCACAAUGCACAGCAAACGUUUUCCUUAAAUAUGUUGAUUGAGUUGAAAGGACAGAACUUUCUCUUUUACAAAUCAAAAUCAACGAAGGUUUCUAAUAUUUAGUCAACUUUAUUGACUCAAAGGUAAAUCUAGACUAUUUCCUAUGCACAAUUUUUUCUGAAUCAUCAAAUUAGUUCUACACAGGUUUUAAACUUUAGGCACAAUCUAUCCCAAAUGCAAGAUCCCUCCUUUCAUUUUUUAUUUAUCUAUUUUAUUUUGGGAAAAUAACUACCAGUUUUUAACUCAAAACAGCCUAGUACAGUUUCUAGCCAGGUUACAGGAAAUAAUACUUAGUUUAUCUGUUUUUUCAUUAUUCAGCAUCUCAAAAUCCAGCCAUUAACGUUAAUGGUUCUUAAAGUUGAGGUAAGACAAUUAUUGGAUUUUGUUUUAUAGCAAGAUUUAACAAAUAUUUUAUUUCCUGACUGAUUAUUUGUUAAUUUUAUGGUUUUCAUAAAGAUGAUCCUGAGAGGUUCAGAGCUGCUUUUCGCAGUACCCUGUGCUAUUUUUAGACUGCGGGACUCCUGUGUGUAAAAGUGGGUGGAGUCAGGUCCCCAGGCUGAAACUCCAGUCAUUCUCACUAAAUCUGUCCGAGAGGAAGGAUCUCCUGAAUACCCUAACCAGAAGCCUUAAGUCUCUCGAACUAAAUAACCGUCUAGUAAAAACAUGGACCGCACCCUGUUUCUCAAGCAGCUGCUCCCUCUAUUAAAAACUGAGUCAUUCAGAAGAUCCAGCGAAAGCAGCUCAUGCAAGAAGACACGCAUCCACUCAUUCACAUGGCACAGACGACAUUCUUUGUUUGUCACAGUCCUUUUUUUUUUUUUUUUUUUAAAGUAAGUCAGUUCGUCACUUAUUUAUUCUCUCUCUCUAUAUAUAUAAUAUUUUAAGCACAGAAUUUAUUUAACACUGCACUGGUUAUUUUCAGAAUUUAAUGCUUACUAUGCUUUUAAGCAGGCCUUAUGUAACAUUAGAGCAAAUCCAAUUGCAAUUUUUUUUGAGAGCGCUCUGAGGAAUAGUUUAUAUAUUUAUUUUCUGCAGAUCUGUUUUGAUUUUACUGUUUAGCAGCUAUAUGACUAUAUUUCUAAAAUAAAGCUGUCAUUUACAUCCUUA